This 120-nucleotide ribosomal RNA is filed under the name Pteropus alecto (black flying fox). RNAcentral also lists the same sequence under 1 other name. Lineage: Eukaryota; Metazoa; Chordata; Mammalia; Chiroptera; Pteropodidae. The record is from RNAcentral.
GUCUAUGGCCAUGCCACCCUGAACAUGCCCGAUUUCAUCUGAUUUCAGAAACUAAAGCAGGGUCGGGCCUGGUUAGUACUUGGAUGGGAGACCACCUAGGACUACUAGGUGCCGUAGGCU